Gracilinanus agilis (Agile Gracile Mouse Opossum) is the source of this 106-nucleotide small nuclear RNA. Lineage: Eukaryota; Metazoa; Chordata; Mammalia; Didelphimorphia; Didelphidae. The record is from RefSeq and is a predicted model, not a curated record.
GUACUCACUUAGCAGCUUAUAUACUAAAAUGGAAACGAUACAGAGAAGAUUAGUAUGGACCCUGUGCAAGGAUAACAUGAAAAUUCUUGAAGCAUUCCAUAUUUUU